Molecule: non-coding RNA, 780 nt
Filed under: Gyrohypnus fracticornis
Lineage: Eukaryota; Metazoa; Arthropoda; Insecta; Coleoptera; Staphylinidae
Source: RNAcentral
UUAAAGUUUUAUUCUGGCUUUUUAGAUUAAUUUUUAAAUUUUUUAUAUGUAAAUUUUAGUGUUAAAUUUUAAAAAUUUAAAUAGUUUUUAAAAAUAAAUAUUUACGCAGUAUUGAAUAUUAAAUUUUAAGGAAACUUAGAUUUAGAAAUUUAUAAUAAUAUUAACAAAAUUUGUGCCAGCAGUUGCGGUUAUACAGAUAAUGUAAUUAAUUUUUUUUAGUAGAUAAUUAAUUUGAGAAUAAAAAAUUAAGAUUAAAUUUAUUAAGUGAAAUUUUAAAUUUAAAUUAAUUUUUAUUGAUUUAAUGAAAUUAUUAAAUUUUAAUUUAAACUAGGAUUAGAUACCCUAUUAUUAAAAAUGUAAAUAGUAAUACUAAAUGAUUGUUAGUUAAGUUCUUUAAAGUUAAAAAAUUUGGCGGUAUUUUAGUCUAUUUAGAGGAACCUGUUCUAUAAUUGAUAAUCCACAAUUUAUUAGACUUAUUUUAAUUAGUUUGUAUAUCGUCGUAGGUUGAAUAUUUUAAUAGAAAUUAAAUAUUCAAAAUUUAGUAUAAUAAUAAAAAUCAGAUCAAGGUGCAGCUUAUAGGUAAGUAGAAAUGGGUUACAAUAAAGUUAUUUAUAUGGAUUAAUUAUUUAAAAUAAUUAUAAAAGUGGAUUUAAAAGUAAUAAAAAUUAAUUAAUUUUUAUGAUUUAAGCUCUGAAAUAUGUACAUAUCGCCCGUCAUUUUCAUUUAAUGUGAAACAAGUCGUAACAAAGUAGGUGUACUGGAAAGUGUACCUGGAUAGGC